ACGACUGCUAAGACUGGAUAGGAAAUUAAGAGGCAUCUUUUAAUUUUUAAAAGACCUUUUUCGAAAGGUAUGCUUAAAGAGGGGCUUGCGCCACAUUAGUUAGUUGGUAAGGUAAAGGCUUACCAAGACGAUGAUGUGUAGCUGGACUGAGAGGUCGAACAGCCACAUUGGGACUGAGACACGGCCCAAACUCCUACGGGAGGCAGCAGUAAGGAAUUUUUGGCAAUGGAGGAAACUCUGACCGAGCGACGCCGCGUGGACAAUGAAGUACUUCGGUAUGUAAAGUUCUUUUAUUGAAAAAGAAAAAAUAGUGGAAAAACUAUCUUGACAUUAUUCAAUGAAUAAGCCCCGGCUAAUUAUGUGCCAGCAGCCGCGGUAAUACAUAAGGGGCGAGCGUUAUCCGGAAUUAUUGGGCGUAAAGGGUGCGUAGGCGGUUUGAUAAGUCUAUAGUUUAAAUGCAGUGCUUAACGCUGUAGCGCUAUAGAAACUGUCUGACUAGAGUUAGAUAGAGGCAAGCGGAAUUCCAUGUGUAGCGGUAAAAUGCGUAAAUAUAUGGAGGAACACCAGAGGCGUAGGCGGCUUGCUGGGUCUUAACCGACGCUGAGGCACGAAAGCGUGGGGAGCAAACAGGAUUAGAUACCCUGGUAGUCCACGCCGUAAACGAUGAGUACUAAGUGUCGGGUUUCGGCUCGGUACUGAAGUUAACACAUUAAGUACUCCGCCUGAGUAGUACGUACGCAAGUAUGAAACUUAAAGGAAUUGACGGGACCCCGCACAAGCGGUGGAUCAUGUUGUUUAAUUCGAAGAUACACGAAAAACCUUACCAGGUCUUGACAUAAUUUUGCGACAUUAUAGAAAUAUAAUGAAGGUUAUCAGAAUUACAGGUGGUGCAUGGUUGUCGUCAGCUCGUGUCGUGAGAUGUUAGGUUAAGUCCUAAAACGAGCGCAACCCUUGUCGUUAGUUGCGACCACGUAAUGGUGAGCACUUUAGCGAGACUGCCAAUGAAAAAUUGGAGGAAGGUGAGGAUUACGUCAAAUCAUCAUGCCCCUUAUGAUCUGGGCUACAAACGUGAUACAAUGGCUGUUACAAAGAGUAGCUACAACGUGAGUUUUUAGCCAAUCUCAAAAAAACAGCCUCAGUUCGGAUUGAAGUCUGCAACUCGACUUCAUGAAGUUGGAAUCGCUAGUAAUCGCGAAUCAGCAUGUCGCGGUGAAUACGUUCUCGGGGUUUGUACACACCGCCCGUCA
This 1247-nucleotide ribosomal RNA is filed under the name 'Picris echioides' yellows phytoplasma Cal. Its description in RNAcentral is "bacterial SSU rRNA". It matches the Rfam family "Bacterial small subunit ribosomal RNA", at positions 156 to 1399 of the family's 1533-position model. Lineage: Bacteria; Bacillati; Mycoplasmatota; Mollicutes; Acholeplasmatales; Acholeplasmataceae. The record is from RNAcentral.